This is an RNA transcript of Alexandromys fortis (reed vole), 2466 nucleotides long. It is a transcript of the gene named low density lipoprotein receptor class A domain containing 1, with no coding region annotated. Lineage: Eukaryota; Metazoa; Chordata; Mammalia; Rodentia; Cricetidae. The transcript is spliced from 9 exons. The record is from RefSeq and is a predicted model, not a curated record.
AGUCUCCUCUGUGGACUACAUCGCUAAGGAAUCUGCUCCCUGCUGUGAAGGAAGACAGUCUAGAAAGCAGCUAACUCCCACCCGGACAUGAACAUCCCAAAAGUUAAAAAUGCAUGUCUGCAUACUUUUAGCAAGACUCUAUUUACAUGUUAGUUUUAGUGGGAAAUGAACACUCUUAUGUUUAUGAAUGUGUCCGUGGGUGGGUGUGCUUAGCGCAUGUGUAGAGGUCGGGACAACUGUGGGGUCAGUUCUCUCCUUGCACCCUCACGUUCAUUCUGGGACUUGAACUAAUGUUGUCAGGCUUGCAUGGCAAGCACCUGUACCGGCCCAGCCGUCCUGCUGGCCCUCAGAAGUGUGUACCCUUCUGAUCUAGGUCACCUGCUUAUUGAACAGCCCAUCAGUGAGAAAAGGAACUUGGCCAAGACUCCUGACACUUCUGCCCAUGGCUUCCUACGGCUUACAAUCGUGCACUCUGUUGAUGCCGACGUGAAUAGUGUGCUAAGGCCCGGCUCAUUUCCUCCACUCACAGUGUGAAUGAGGCACCAAGCCCUCUCUCCCUUUCGGAAACACCAGUUUGUCAUCUGUGGGAUGGGCUGCCCUUGGUGACCAGCCCGAGGACCUAUACUGAGCUUUCUUUACCCCGGUUCCUGAACAUGAGUGUUGGAGCCUCGAACAAGAUCUUCCCCCAGGGAGAUGCUGAGAUCAACUCUGCUGCUGGAGGGAAAGGCCGCCCUGGAGGGGAAGGCUGUGGCCCCUUCUGCUGCUCUCAUCGUGGGGCCUGCCUCUCGGCCUUCCUGCUGCUAUUGACGGCCAUGCUUGCUGCCUUGCUCGUUGUGGCCACCAUCCUUGGACGUCCACCCCACGGACCAGAGACCCACUCCUGUGUGACGUUGACCAACAGGACGGGCUUCUUAUGCCAUGACCGAAGGCAUUGCAUCCCAGCCCACGGGGUGUGUGAUGGUGUUCGCACCUGUCCCCACGGUGAGGAUGAGGAUGAAAGCUUGUGCCGAGAUGUGCCCCGGAGCCUCCCCAGCUUCCUCCUGGCCCACUGCGGAGACUCAGCCUCCUGGAUCUACUCGGACCAGAGAUGUGAUGGUGUUAACAACUGUGGGGACUGCUCAGACGAACUGAGCCCAGUAACCACGUGUCCGCCUUGUGGCCCCGGCUGGUGGCGCUGCACUCCGACCGUCUUCAAGUACUGCAGCUGUAUCCCCAGGGUUCUGUGCCGGGACCAGGUGCAGCACUGCUCUGAUUGGUCAGACGAGUACACCUGUUCUGGUCCCUGAGAGAGCCUCCCUCUGCAGCGUGGAAGCUGGCACCAGGACCCUUUCAUCAGAGCAUCAAACCCUAGAUCACAAGGGCGGGAAGGAGCCUUUGACGUCAUCCAGCGACAUCUCCCCAUUGUCUCUAAACAGGAAUUAGCUUUCUCGUUUCUAGUGUCUCAGCCUCUACUUGAGCACCUCCGCUAACAAGGAGUUCACUACCGUGUUAGUCAGCUUCUAACAAUGAGAUGACCAGAGAAACCUGGUGUGAGGCUGCCGAGCUUGGAGGGAGCCUGAAGAUCACCAAAUCCCACCCCUAGCUGAGGACUGAAUUGCCUGCCUACCAGCCCUGCCAAAGAGCCUCCCAGCCUUCGGCACUUCUAAACACGAGGAGCUGGCUUCCUCUGACAGCUGUAACUCUGGGACACUGAUUCUACUCAGUUUUCAGUGAUUAGGUCCAGAUCCAGAAAACGCAUCUGCUCCCUCUGUUCCUGGAGAGCAUUCCUCUGCAAACUGGGGACCGUCUCUCCAGAGACAUUUCAAGCUGCAUGGUCCCAAAGCGUUAAACAAGCCUGGGAGCAGAGCUGGACACGGUGCCCUUCUUUCAUCUUGGCUUCCUCUUGUUCUUGAUGAGCUAUUGUCAAGCUGGCACGGCCACGGCCACAGCUAUCCUGAAAGAUGAGGAGGCCGAGAUUUACUGAGUAGCAGGAAAAUGGACGAGACUGGAUUCUCGGAUUCUCAGCCUAGUGCUGAUCUGCCUGGGCCCUGAAGGAUCAUCUUUGACACCUGGGAGAGAGGAAACCGACCGAAGCAGGAGCUGACCUCACUAGUGUUUGUCUGUUAUUGUGUCUAAGUGUGUGUGUGCAGGCAUGUGUAUGACGUGGUGUCCAUGUGGAGGUCAAAGAACGCCUCAGAGGAAUCAGUUCUAUCCUGUCACCUUGUGGGAUCCCGGGCUCAAACUCGGGUCUCAGUUCGGCACACAAGCAUCCCAGCCCAUCCUAGGAACUGCUGGAUAUAAUUUCUCUUUCCCAGGAGACAGAGUACAAGCAUAGCCAGGCCUUAACACCUGGUGGAUUAAGAAUUACCAACUUGAAGCCUGCAGUGGUGGCGCACGCCUUUAAUCCCAGCACUCGGGGAGGCAGAGGCAGGCGGAUCUCUGUGAGUUCGAGGCCAGCCUGGUCUAUAAGAGCUAGUUCCAGGACAG